UGGGGAAUAUUGCACAAUGGGCGCAAGCCUGAUGCAGCCAUGCCGCGUGUAUGAAGAAGGCCUUCGGGUUGUAAAGUACUUUCAGCGAGGAGGAAGGCGUUGUGGUUAAUAACCGCAACGAUUGACGUUACUCGCAGAAGAAGCACCGGCUAACUCCGUGCCAGCAGCCGCGGUAAUACGGAGGGUGCAAGCGUUAAUCGGAAUUACUGGGCGUAAAGCGCACGGAGGCGGUCUGUCAAGUCGGAUGUGAAAUCCCCGGGCUCAACCUGGGAACUGCAUCCGAAACUGGCAGGCUAGAGUCUUGUAGAGGGGGGUAGAAUUCCAGGUGUAGCGGUGAAAUGCGUAGAGAUCUGGAGGAAUACCGGUGGCGAAGGCGGCCCCCUGGACAAAGACUGACGCUCAGGUGCGAAAGCGUGGGGAGCAAACA
RNAcentral lists this ribosomal RNA (427 nucleotides) under uncultured bacterium. RNAcentral describes it as "partial 16S ribosomal RNA". It matches the Rfam family "Bacterial small subunit ribosomal RNA", at positions 355 to 774 of the family's 1533-position model. The record is from RNAcentral.